RNAcentral lists this ribosomal RNA (492 nucleotides) under uncultured bacterium. Its description in RNAcentral is "bacterial SSU rRNA". It matches the Rfam family "Bacterial small subunit ribosomal RNA", at positions 30 to 507 of the family's 1533-position model. The record is from RNAcentral.
AUUGAACGCUGGCGGCAUGCUUUACACAUGCAAGUCGAACGGUAACAGGCCUUCGGGCGCUGACGAGUGGCGAACGGGUGAGUAAUGCAUCGGAACGUGCCCAGAGGUGGGGGAUAACGCAGCGAAAGCUGUGCUAAUACCGCAUAUUAUCUGAGGAUGAAAGCGGGGGACUAAGCAGCAAUGUUUGGCCUCGCGCCCUUGGAGCGGCCGAUGUCAGAUUAGGUAGUUGGUGGGGUAAAGGCCUACCAAGCCGACGAUCUGUAGCUGGUCUGAGAGGACGACCAGCCACACUGGGACUGAGACACGGCCCAGACUCCCACGGGAGGCAGCAGUGGGGAAUUUUGGACAAUGGGCGCAAGCCUGAUCCAGCAAUGCCGCGUGCAGGAAGAAGGCCUUCGGGUUGUAAACUGCUUUUGUACGGAACGAAAAGGCUCUGGUUAAUACCUGGGGCUCAUGACGGUACCGUAAGAAUAAGCACCGGCUAACUACGUG